GACAGCAGCCGCCGCGGUAAUACGAAGGGGGCUAGCGUUGCUCGGAAUGACUGGGCGUAAAGGGCGCGUAGGCGGCGAUCAAAGUCAGGCGUGAAAUUCCUGGGCUCAACCUGGGGGCUGCGUUUGAUACUUGAUUGCUAGAGUGGGGAAGAGGGUCGUGGAAUUCCCAGUGUAGAGGUGAAAUUCGUAGAUAUUGGGAAGAACACCGGUGGCGAAGGCGGCGACCUGGUCCUUGACUGACGCUGAGGCGCGAAAGCGUGGGUAGCAAACAGGAUUAGAUACCCCAGUAGUCCCUGUCUCUUAUAC
RNAcentral lists this ribosomal RNA (306 nucleotides) under uncultured bacterium. RNAcentral describes it as "partial 16S ribosomal RNA". It matches the Rfam family "Bacterial small subunit ribosomal RNA", at positions 507 to 807 of the family's 1533-position model. The record is from RNAcentral.